Molecule: long non-coding RNA, 397 nt
Organism: Anolis carolinensis (green anole)
Lineage: Eukaryota; Metazoa; Chordata; Lepidosauria; Squamata; Anolidae
Exons: 4
Source: RefSeq, a predicted model, not a curated record
UGCCGGUUAAUCUUCCCUUUUGUGACAGAGCCAACGACAUCAUAAUAAUACUUGAUUUAUAAUCCAACCUAUGUCCAGGAGGGGACUCCAGGCAGUUUCCAGCAAAAUAAACACAAUGGCAAACAUUCAAUGCCAAGAACAACAAAUAACGAAUCAAAGUACUGGAGGGAAGAUAAACAACAUACCAUAUUGCAAAUGCCUAUGUCCCUGUGGAGACUGUAGCAGUGGAGACUGUGGCAGUGGAAACUAUGGGGAGACAUGCUGAACCCAUUGCUCUUCAACAACUGAUUACUCUAAUUGGGACUAACCAACAGGAUUGAAACAGGCCCUGCUGCUAAACAAUAGAAGAUAAAAAGGAAAAAUGUCCUUGUGCAAUAGGGUAAGGGUUGUAUGAUAG